AACUGGCAUGAAGGGUUUAACAGUUUAAAGCUUGUGACGAAUUUACAUAGUGAAAUUAUAGUUUUAGUAAAAAUACUGAAAUUUCUUUAAAGGGACGAGAAGACCCUAAAAGCUUUAAUAGUUAGGGUAGGGACAAGUUGGUGGUUACAGGUCUUUAUUUGAGUUAUUUUUACUGGGGCAGUAGUGUUAGAGAUAGUUAAAAUUUUGUAUACUAAGUUUAGGAGGUAUGAUCUUUUAUAUAAGAAUAUUUAGGAUAAGUUACUUUAGGGAUAACAGCGUUAUAUCUUUGGGGAGAUCUUAUUUAUAAAGGUGAUUACGACCUCGAUGUUGAAUUAAAAAAUCUCUUUGGCGCAGUAGACAAGUGAGAGGGUUUGUUCAACCUUUAAAUUUUUACAUGAUUU
Molecule: ribosomal RNA, 401 nt
Filed under: Liljeborgia sp. BOLD:ADF6225
Lineage: Eukaryota; Metazoa; Arthropoda; Malacostraca; Amphipoda; Liljeborgiidae
Description: partial 16S ribosomal RNA
Rfam family: Archaeal large subunit ribosomal RNA (bases 269-401)
Source: RNAcentral